GAUGAACGCUGGCGGCGUGCCUAAUACAUGCAAGUCGAGCGAACAGACGAGGAGCUUGCUCCUCUGACGUUAGCGGCGGACGGGUGAGUAACACGUGGAUAACCUACCUAUAAGACUGGGAUAACUUCGGGAAACCGGAGCUAAUACCGGAUAAUAUAUUGAACCGCAUGGUUCAUUAGUGAAAGACGGUUUUGCUGUCACUUAUAGAUGGAUCCGCGCCGCAUUAGCUAGUUGGUAAGGUAACGGCUUACCAAGGCAACGAUGCGUAGCCGACCUGAGAGGGUGAUCGGCCACACUGGAACUGUGACACGGUCCAGACUCCUACGGGAGGCAGCAGUAGGGAAUCUUCCGCAAUGGGCGAAAGCCUGACGGAGCAACGCCGCGUGAGUGAUGAAGGUCUUCGGAUCGUAAAACUCUGUUAUUAGGGAAGAACAAAUGUGUAAGUAACUAUGCACGUCUUGACGGUACCUAAUCAGAAAGCCACGGCUAACUACGUG
RNAcentral lists this ribosomal RNA (497 nucleotides) under uncultured bacterium. RNAcentral's name for it is "partial 16S ribosomal RNA". It matches the Rfam family "Bacterial small subunit ribosomal RNA", at positions 28 to 507 of the family's 1533-position model. The record is from RNAcentral.